CCCAAGGGUUGGGCUGUUCGCCCAUUAAAGUGGCACGCGAGCUGGGUUCAGAACGUCGUGAGACAGUUCGGUCCCUAUCUGUUGUGGGCGUUAGAAACUUGAGAGGGCCUGCCUCUAGUACGAGAGGACCGAGGCGGACAGACCUCUGGUAUGCCUGUUGUGGCGCCAGCUGCACCGCAGGGUAGCCAUGUCUGGAAGAGAUAAGCGCUGAAAGCAUCUAAGCGCGAAGCUCGCCUCAAGAUUAGGUUUCUUUUAAGGGCCGUCAUAGACGAUGACGUUGAUAGGCUGCAGGUGUAAAGACAGUAAUGUCAAAGCUGAGCAGUACUAAUGACCCGUAGCUUUCGGAUU
This 348-nucleotide ribosomal RNA is filed under the name Flavobacteriales bacterium. RNAcentral describes it as "partial 23S ribosomal RNA". It matches the Rfam family "Bacterial large subunit ribosomal RNA", at positions 2564 to 2925 of the family's 2925-position model. Lineage: Bacteria; Pseudomonadati; Bacteroidota; Flavobacteriia; Flavobacteriales. The record is from RNAcentral.